GAUGAACGCUGGCGGCGUGCCUAAUACAUGCAAGUCGAGCGAACAGACGAGGAGCUUGCUCUUCUGACGUUAGCGGCGGACGGGUGAGUAACACGUGGGUAACCUACCUAUAAGACUGGGAUAACUUCGGGAAACCGGAGCUAAUACCGGAUAAUAUUUUGAACCGCAUGGUUCAAUAGUGAAAGACGGUCUUGCUGUCACUUAUAGAUGGAUCCGCGCUGCAUUAGCUAGUUGGUAAGGUAACGGCUUACCAAGGCAACGAUGCGUAGCCGACCUGAGAGGGUGAUCGGCCACACUGGAACUGAGACACGGUCCAGACUCCUACGGGAGGCAGCAGUAGGGAAUCUUCCGCAAUGGGCGAAAGCCUGACGGAGCAACGCCGCGUGAGUGAUGAAGGUCUUCGGAUCGUAAAACUCUGUUAUUAGGGAAGAACAAAUGUGUAAGUAACUAUGCACGUCUUGACGGUACCUAAUCAGAAAGCCACGGCUAACUACGUG
This 497-nucleotide ribosomal RNA is filed under the name uncultured bacterium. Its description in RNAcentral is "partial 16S ribosomal RNA". It matches the Rfam family "Bacterial small subunit ribosomal RNA", at positions 28 to 507 of the family's 1533-position model. The record is from RNAcentral.